This 692-nucleotide ribosomal RNA is filed under the name uncultured bacterium. RNAcentral's name for it is "bacterial SSU rRNA". It matches the Rfam family "Bacterial small subunit ribosomal RNA", at positions 620 to 1315 of the family's 1533-position model. The record is from RNAcentral.
AGUGCCGUUGAUACUGUAGAGCUAGGAUUAGGUUGCUGUGGGCGGAAUGUGUGGUGUAGCGGUGAAAAUGCUUAGAGAUCACACAGAAUAUCGAUUGCGAAGGCAGCUCACAAAGCCUAAAUUGACGCUGAGGCACGAAAGUGUGGGGAUCGAACAGGAUUAGAUACCCUGGUAGUCCACACUGUAAACGAUGAUAACUCGCUGUCGGCGAUAUACAGUCGGUGGCCAAGCGAAAGCGAUAAGUUAUCCACCUGGGGAGUACGACCGCAAGGUUGAAACUCAAAGGAAUUGACGGGGGCCCGCACAAGCGGAGGAACAUGUGGUUUAAUUCGAUGAUACGCGAGGAACCUUACCCGGGCUCGAACGGUGCAUGAAUGUCAGAGAGAUUUGACAGUCAUUCGGGACAUGUAUCGAGGUGCUGCAUGGUUGUCGUCAGCUCGUGCCGUGAGGUGUCGGCUUAAGUGCCAUAACGAGCGCAACCCAUAUAGACAGUUAUCAUCAGGUAAAGCUGGGGACUCUGUCGAGACAGCCACCGUAAGGUGUGAGGAAGGGGGGGAUGACGUCAAAUCAGCACGGCCCUUAUGUCCGGGGCGACACACGUGUUACAAUGGGAGGUACAGAGGGCAGCUAUCCAGUGAUGGAGUGCAAAUCUCAAAAACCUUUCUCAGUUCGGAUUGGAGUCUGCAACUCGA